UAUUGACUUUGAUUCCAGGGUCAAACUCUCGGCUACCCUUUCUCACCUCUUUUUACUCUUUCACCCUCCCCAUGUGUAUCAACACCGCCUUGAAUCAGGGCCAUUCCCGUCAAUUCACCAAACCAGAAUCCCGUUCUCCCACCUUUCUUACCCCUAACCCUCAACCACCAGUUGCCGCAUCAUAAAUUCGCCACCGGACCUCCACGUGUCACCCUACCAUUGGUUUGUUCACCCUCUAAAUAACCUCACAACUCUUCACUGAAAGAUAGGCUUCUUCUUCUUCAAUUCAUCAUUCAUCAAUCAUCAUCUCUCUCCAUCUAGUUCAUUUAACUUGCAGAUCUGUUGAUUUUACAGUUUACACAGAUUUUUCUUGCAGAUAAACGGGCUAGUGCCGCAGUCCCUUUGAAUAGCAAAUCCAAUUCUACGGCGUCGAGAAAUUGUUGUGCACGACCUUCUGCACUCUAUCUAGGAAACCGACAACUUCAGGGGCAAGACACACGAAAGUAUCGAAGGCAAAGGGAAUGAAAACAUGUUGAUUCUCAGUACAGGUUUUCUCAUGCUUAGCGACCCUCCUUGAUUCUGAUUCUGCCUUCAACACAGCCUGAUCAACCACGAAAUGGUUUUCCCUGAGUCCAACAAGAGGGACACCUCGGUAAGAUCCACACGGCAAACUCACACGCACCUUUAUAUCCACUUAUAGAUAUUUUACUAAUGUCUAGCAGCGGACUAAGGUAGCACCUUACGACACUCCUUAUUAUCACCGGCCUACAAGCCCUUUGGAACAUGUGUUGUAGAUACUUGUUGAUUUUUUAAUUUUAGUAGAAAUAGAAUUGAUGGUGUUUUAUGUUGUGAAUUGAUAAAAAAGGAAUUGUGUGCACUAUUGAUUGCUUGAAAUGACAGCAAAUGUAACGAAAUGUUCCUAAAAGUUAUCUUCUUUUAGAAACCAGUAUCAGAUUGUGCACCUUACCUAUUAUGUAAUAAAUGUUUUUAUCCCUC
Helianthus annuus (common sunflower) is the source of this 996-nucleotide long non-coding RNA. RefSeq lists it as uncharacterized. The transcript is spliced from 2 exons. The record is from RefSeq and is a predicted model, not a curated record. NCBI's taxonomy places the organism in Eukaryota, Viridiplantae, Streptophyta, Magnoliopsida, Asterales, Asteraceae.